GAUGAACGCUGGCGGCGUGCCUAACACAUGCAAGUCGAGCGGCAGCGAGGGGUGCUUGCACCCUGUCGGCGAGCGGCGGACGGCUGAGUAACGCGUGGGAACGUGCCCCAAGGUGAGGAAUAACUGCCCGAAAGGGUAGCUAAUACCGCAUAUUAUCUUCGGAUCAAAGGAUUUAUCCGCUUUGGGAGCGGCUCGCGUCGGAUUAGGUAGUUGGUGAGGUAAUGGCUCACCAAGCCGACGAUCCGUAGCUGGUCUGAGAGGAUGACAGCCAGACUGGAACUGAGACACGGUCCAGACUCCUACGGGAGGCAGCAGUGAGGAAUCUUCCACAAUGGGCGAAAGCCUGAUGGAGCAACGCCGCGUGCAGGACGAAGGCCUUCGGGUUGUAAACUGCUUUUAUAAGUGAGGAAUAUGACGGUAACUUAUGAAUAAGGAUCGGCUAACUACGUG
This 450-nucleotide ribosomal RNA is filed under the name uncultured bacterium. Its description in RNAcentral is "partial 16S ribosomal RNA". It matches the Rfam family "Bacterial small subunit ribosomal RNA", at positions 28 to 507 of the family's 1533-position model. The record is from RNAcentral.